GCCGGUGUGGCGAAAUUGGUAGACGCAGCAGACUCAAAAUCUGCCGGUAGCAAUACUGUAUCGGUUCGAGUCCGAUCACCGGUA
RNAcentral lists this transfer RNA (84 nucleotides) under Spirochaetia bacterium. RNAcentral describes it as "tRNA-Leu". It matches the Rfam family "tRNA". Rfam says of the family: Transfer RNA (tRNA) molecules are approximately 80 nucleotides in length. RNAcentral also lists the same sequence under 1 other name. Lineage: Bacteria; Pseudomonadati; Spirochaetota; Spirochaetia. The record is from RNAcentral.